UAGGGAAUCUUCGGCAAUGGACGGAAGUCUGACCGAGCAACGCCGCGUGAGUGAAGAAGGUUUUCGGAUCGUAAAGCUCUGUUGUAAGAAAAGAACGAGUGUGAGAGUGGAAAGUUCACACUGUGACGGUAUCUUACCAGAAAGGGACGGCUAACUACGUGCCAGCAGCCGCGGUAAUACGUAGGUCCCGAGCGUUGUCCGGAUUUAUUGGGCGUAAAGCGAGCGCAGGCGGUUAGAUAAGUCUGAAGUUAAAGGCUGUGGCUUAACCAUAGUACGCUUUGGAAACUGUUUAACUUGAGUGCAAGAGGGGAGAGUGGAAUUCCAUGUGUAGCGGUGAAAUGCGUAGAUAUAUGGAGGAACACCGGUGGCGAAAGCGGCUCUCUGGCUUGUAACUGACGCUGAGGCUCGAAAGCGUGGGGAGCAAACAGGAUUAGAUACCCUGGUAGUCCACGCCGUAAACGAUGAGUGCUAGGUGUUAGACCCUUUCCGGGGUUUAGUGCCGCAGCUAACGCAUUAAGCACUCCGCCUGGGGAGUACGACCGCAAGGUUG
Molecule: ribosomal RNA, 550 nt
Filed under: uncultured bacterium
Lineage: Bacteria
Description: bacterial SSU rRNA
Rfam family: Bacterial small subunit ribosomal RNA
Source: RNAcentral